CCUACGGGAGGCAGCAGUGGGGGAUAUUGCACAAUGGGGGAAACCCUGAUGCAGCGACGCCGCGUGGGUGAAGAAGCGCCUCGGCGCGUAAAGCCCUGUCAGCAGGGAAGAAAAUGACGGUACCUGAAGAAGAAGCCCCGGCUAACUACGUGCCAGCAGCCGCGGUAAUACGUAGGGGGCAAGCGUUAUCCGGAUUUACGGGGUGUAAAGGGGGCGCAGACGGCGAUGCAAGCCAGGAGUGAAAGCCCGGGGCCCAACCCCGGGACGGCUCUUGGAACUGCGUGGCUAGAGUGCAGGAGGGGCAGGUGGAAUGCGUGGUGUAGCGGUGAAAUGCGUAGAUAUCAGGAGGAACACCGGUGGCGAAGGCGGCCUGCUGGACUGCAACUGACGUUGAGGCCCGAAAGCGUGGGGAGCAAACAGGAUUAGAUACCCCAGUAGUC
RNAcentral lists this ribosomal RNA (440 nucleotides) under uncultured bacterium. RNAcentral's name for it is "partial 16S ribosomal RNA". It matches the Rfam family "Bacterial small subunit ribosomal RNA", at positions 338 to 795 of the family's 1533-position model. The record is from RNAcentral.